RNAcentral lists this ribosomal RNA (380 nucleotides) under uncultured eukaryote. RNAcentral's name for it is "partial 18S ribosomal RNA". It matches the Rfam family "Eukaryotic small subunit ribosomal RNA", at positions 592 to 976 of the family's 1831-position model. The record is from RNAcentral.
CAAUAGCGUAUAUUAAAGUUGUUGCGGUUAAAAAGCUCGUAGUUGGAGUUCUGCCAGGUGCCGUCUGUCCGCCCCAGUGGUGAGUACGUGACGCGCAUUUGGCCCUUUCAAGGGGAGCGUAUCUGCACUUUACUGUGUGGUGCGGGAUCCUUGACUUUUACUUUGAGGAAAUAGGAGUGUUCCAAGCAGGCUCUCGUCGUGCACAGCUCAGCAUGGAAUAAUAGCAUUGGACCUCGAUUCUAAGCUGUUGGUUGCCAGAAGCGAGGUAAUGAUGAAGAGGGAUAGUUGGGGGCAUUCGUAUUUAACUGUCGGAGGUGAAAUUCUUGGAUUUGUUAAAGACGGACUACUGCGAAAGCAUCUGCCAUGGAUGUUUUCAUUGA